Molecule: ribosomal RNA, 467 nt
Filed under: uncultured bacterium
Lineage: Bacteria
Description: partial 16S ribosomal RNA
Rfam family: Bacterial small subunit ribosomal RNA
Source: RNAcentral
GAUGAACGCUGACAGAAUGCUUAACACAUGCCAGUCAACUUGAAUUUGGGUUUUUAACUUAGGUUUGGGUGGCGGACGGGUGAGUAACGCGUAAAGAACUUGCCUCACAGCUAGGGACAACAUUUGGAAACGAAUGCUAAUACCUAAUAUUAUGAUAAUAGGGCAUCCUAUAAUUAUGAAAGCUAUAAGCGCUGUGAGAGAGCUUUGCGUCCCAUUAGCUAGUUGGAGAGGUAACGGCUCACCAAGGCGAUGAUGGGUAGCCGGCCUGAGAGGGUGAUCGGCCACAAGGGGACUGAGACACGGCCCUUACUCCUACGGGAGGCAGCAGUGGGGAAUAUUGGACAAUGGACCGAGAGUCUGAUCCAGCAAUUCUGUGUGCACGAUGAAGUUUUUCGGAAUGUAAAGUGAUUUCAGUUGGGAAGAAACAAAUGACGGUACCAACAGAAGAAGUGACGGCUAAAUACGUG